GACGAACGCUGGCGGCGUGCUUAACACAUGCAAGUCGAACGGUGACGAGGAGCUUGCUCCUCUGAUCAGUGGCGAACGGGUGAGUAACACGUGAGCAACCUACCCUUGACUCUGGGAUAACAGUUGGAAACAGCUGCUAAUACCGGAUACGACCCUGGCCGACAUCUGCCGGGGUGGAAAGCUCCGACGGUCAAGGAUGGGCUCGCGGCCUAUCAGCUAGUUGGUGAGGUAACGGCUCACCAAGGCGACGACGGGUAGCCGGCCUGAGAGGGCGACCGGCCACACUGGGACUGAGAUACGGCCCAGACUCCUACGGGUGGCAG
Molecule: ribosomal RNA, 323 nt
Filed under: uncultured Actinomycetes bacterium
Lineage: Bacteria; Bacillati; Actinomycetota; Actinomycetes
Description: bacterial SSU rRNA
Rfam family: Bacterial small subunit ribosomal RNA
Source: RNAcentral